CCUACGGGAGGCAGCAGUGGGGAAUAUUGGACAAUGGGGGGAACCCUGAUCCAGCGACGCCGCGUGAGUGAAGAAGUAUUUCGGUAUGUAAAGCUCUAUCAGCAGGGAAGAAAGAAAUGACGGUACCUGACUAAGAAGCCCCGGCUAACUACGUGCCAGCAGCCGCGGUACUACGUAGGGGGCAAGCGUUAUCCGGAUUUACUGGGUGUAAAGGGAGCGUAGACGGCGAUGCAAGUCUGAAGUGAAAGGCGGGGGCCCAACCCCCGUACUGCUUUGGAAACUGUAUGGCUGGAGUGCAGGAGAGGUAAGUGGAAUUCCUAGUGUAGCGGUGAAAUGCGUAGAUAUUAGGAGGAACACCAGUGGCGAAGGCGGCUUACUGGACUGUAACUGACGUUGAGGCUCGAAAGCGUGGGGAGCAAACAGGAUUAGAUACCCCAGUAGUC
RNAcentral lists this ribosomal RNA (443 nucleotides) under uncultured bacterium. RNAcentral's name for it is "partial 16S ribosomal RNA". It matches the Rfam family "Bacterial small subunit ribosomal RNA", at positions 338 to 795 of the family's 1533-position model. The record is from RNAcentral.